GUUUGUCUACGGCUGUACCACGCCUGAUCUCGCUGGAUCUCAGAAGCUAAGCAGGGUCGGGCCUGGUUAGUACUUGGAUGGGAGAAGUCCUGAAUUAGGUGAUCCUUGAAAGACAAACA
This 119-nucleotide ribosomal RNA is filed under the name Mustela putorius furo (domestic ferret). The record is from RNAcentral. Lineage: Eukaryota; Metazoa; Chordata; Mammalia; Carnivora; Mustelidae.